Molecule: long non-coding RNA, 94 nt
Organism: Neltuma alba
Lineage: Eukaryota; Viridiplantae; Streptophyta; Magnoliopsida; Fabales; Fabaceae
Exons: 3
Source: RefSeq, a predicted model, not a curated record
CCUGCAUAUAUCAUGAAACACCCAUUAAUCAUUAAACGUAUUUUGAAUGCUCAUUUCACAGUAUCCUAUAAAAUCUGCAUGUUUGGAGAUAAAA